GAGAACCAUUCGUUCCGUAAGGUCCGGAUGGGGAAACCGGCGAACGGGUGCGUAACACGUGAGGAACCUGCCCCGAAGAUCGGGAUAGCCCGGGGAAACCCGGAUUAAUACCGAAUACCCUCUCCGGACCGCAUGGUCUGUUGAGGAAAUGGUCAGCCGCUUCGGGAUGGCCUCGCGGCCUAUCAGCUUGUUGGUGAGGUAACGGCUCACCAAGGCAAAGACGGGUAGCUGGUCUGAGAGGACGAUCAGCCACACUGGGACUGAGACACGGCCCAGACUCCUACGGGAGGCAGCAGCAGGGAAUAUUGCACAAUGGGCGCAAGCCUGAUGCAGCGACACCGCGUGCGGGAUGAAGGCCCUCGGGUUGUAAACCGCUUUCAGGAGGGACGAAAAUGACGGUACCUCCAGAAGAAGGCCCGGCCAACUACGUGCCAGCAGCCGCGGUAACACGUAGGGGCCAAACGUUGUCCGGAUUUAUCGGGCGUAAAGGGCUCGUAGGCGGUUCAACAAGUCGGUCGUGAAAUGCCGGGGCUCAACCCCGGAACGCCGGUCGAAACUGUUGUGACUAGGGUCCGGUAGAGGUGAGUGGAAUUCUCGGUGUAGCGGU
This 607-nucleotide ribosomal RNA is filed under the name uncultured bacterium. RNAcentral's name for it is "bacterial SSU rRNA". It matches the Rfam family "Bacterial small subunit ribosomal RNA", at positions 64 to 682 of the family's 1533-position model. The record is from RNAcentral.